GGUUCCGGGGGGAGUAUGGUCGCAGGGCUGAAACUUAAAGGAAUUGACGGAAGGGCACCCCCAGGAGUGGAGCCUGCGGCUUAAUUUGACUCAACACGGGAAAACUUACCAGGUCCAGACAUAGGUAGGAUUGACAGAUUGAGAGUUCUUUCAUGAUUUUAUGGGGGGUGGGGCAUGGCCGUUUUUAGUUGGUGGAGUGAUUUGUUUGGUUAAUUCCGUUAACGAACGAGACCUCGGCUUAUUAAAUAGUGCGUGGUAUGGCAACAUAGUACGUUUUAACUUUUUAGAGGGACAUGUCCGGUUUACGGGCAGGAAGUUCGAGGCAAUAACAGGUUUGUGAUGCCCUUAGAUGUUUUGGGCCGCACGCGCGCUACACUGAUGGGUUCAUCGGGUUUUAAUUUUAUUUUUUGGAAUUGAGUGCUUGGUCGGAAGGCCUGGCUAAUCCUUGGAACGCUCAUCGUGCUGGGGCUAGAUUUUUGCAAUUAUUAAUCUCCAACGAGGAAUUCCUAGUAAACGCAAGUCAUCAGCUUGCAUUGAAUACGUCCCUGCCCUUUGUACACACCGCCCGUCGCACCUACCGAUUGAACGGUCCGAUGAAACCAUGGGAUGUUUCUGUUUGGAUUGAUUUUUGGACAGAGGCAGAACUCGGGUG
RNAcentral lists this ribosomal RNA (652 nucleotides) under Aurantiochytrium sp. Its description in RNAcentral is "SSU rRNA". It matches the Rfam family "Eukaryotic small subunit ribosomal RNA", at positions 1110 to 1761 of the family's 1831-position model. Lineage: Eukaryota; Bigyra; Thraustochytrida; Thraustochytriidae. The record is from RNAcentral.